RNAcentral lists this non-coding RNA (21 nucleotides) under Caenorhabditis elegans. Lineage: Eukaryota; Metazoa; Nematoda; Chromadorea; Rhabditida; Rhabditidae. The record is from RNAcentral.
UCGAGUCAAUGAGUGUAGUGG